This 97-nucleotide ribosomal RNA is filed under the name Bacillus altitudinis. RNAcentral describes it as "partial 23S ribosomal RNA". It matches the Rfam family "Bacterial large subunit ribosomal RNA", at positions 2828 to 2925 of the family's 2925-position model. The record is from RNAcentral. Lineage: Bacteria; Bacillati; Bacillota; Bacilli; Caryophanales; Bacillaceae.
GUAAGAUCCCUGAAAGAUGAUCAGGUUGAUAGGUCUGAGGUGGAAGCGUGGUGACACGUGGAGCUGACAGAUACUAAUAGAUCGAGGACUUAACCUA